UAGGGAAAGACGGCCGUGGAAAGCCUAAUUUGGGAGUUACACGCAUUCUCCUGCCCAGCCAGCAAAAUCCCUCAGGCUGGUGAUGGGCGCCUUGCAAGCAAGCACCCAGCUCCCCGACCGCAGCUCCUCCCCUAGAGGCGAAGCAGGGGAUUUACCGGUGCCGGAUUAACCAAUUAACGCCGUGGGACAGAGGACCGGCAGGCCACCAGGACUGCAGAUGGACUCUUCACACCCAGGACUCUGCCUGCUGCCAGGCCUUCCAACAACGGUCACGUGGACGCCUGCCCUGAGCUCCGGUGUUUUGCCGGUUUGUCACCGAUGCUUCCGGCAGCCCUGCAAGGAAAAGAAGUCUUCCCCAGAACUCAUCUAAGAGGGAUUUGCUUCUGCUUCAUUGGGUGGGGCGUAGUGACUCCGGGACAAAUUGGUGGCCAAGAAGAGGAGAUCCCGAGGCUGACUGAGUCAAAACCACUCCCCGAAGGUGAGGAAGAGGAGAUCCCGGCCACUGCUGCACAGAUGGAGGCACUGAUGAGUGAUGAGUGGCAUCAGAUGCACAGUGUGACUUCUGGAACACGUUGUGCCCCUGUCCUCUGACAGCCUGAUGUUCUCCACCCCCAC
Molecule: long non-coding RNA, 615 nt
Organism: Herpailurus yagouaroundi (jaguarundi)
Lineage: Eukaryota; Metazoa; Chordata; Mammalia; Carnivora; Felidae
Exons: 3
Source: RefSeq, a predicted model, not a curated record